UUGUCUAUAGUUUUUUUUUUAUAGAUAAUUUCUGCCCGGUGAUUUUUAACGGCCGCGGUACUCUGACCGUGCAAAGGUAGCAUAAUCAUUUGCUCUUUUAUUGGGGGCUGGAAUGAAUGGCAUAACGAGAUUCUGUCUGUCUCUUUUUUUUAAGUAGAAUUUGCUAUUUUUGUGAAGAAGCAAAAUUAUAAAAGAAGGACAAGAAGACCCUAUUAAGCUUUACCUUUUUUCUUAUUUAUUUUAAAAAGUAUCUAGGGGCAAGGUUUAGUUGGGGUGAUUGAAAAAGAAAAAAUCUUUUUUUAGAACAGGAAACUUGAUUGGUUUGAGAGUGGGCCAAAAGAUUUUGAGAGAAAGAAAAAGUUACUAUAGGGAUAACAGCGUAAUUUUUUCUGAGAGUUCGUAUUGAAGAGAAAGGUUGCGACCUCGAUGUUGACUUAUUGUAUCCGUUAGGUGUAGAAGCUUUUAGGGUUAGUCUGUUCGACUAUUAAAACAAU
Molecule: ribosomal RNA, 494 nt
Filed under: Lineidae sp. E HK-2021
Lineage: Eukaryota; Metazoa; Nemertea; Pilidiophora; Heteronemertea; Lineidae
Description: partial 16S rRNA
Rfam family: Bacterial large subunit ribosomal RNA
Source: RNAcentral